AUUACAAGAGCAGCUGAAGUAAAGAGAAGAGGGGGUUAGUGCUGGCUGGAGGCGUAGGAGGAAAACACCAGGCAAGAGUUCUGGCAUCGGAUAUGCUGCGACUCUGAGAGGACAUCUUCCCUGGGUCUGGCUCUUACUGUUCAGGUUCAACCACGUGAAGAUGACGUUGGUGUGGAGGGUCCAAUGCUCUGCAUUUGGUGCUUAAUCCAGAGGAGGAGUGUCUCAUGCAAAAGUGUAACUGUGCAUGCUGUGAG
This is a non-coding RNA of Equus caballus (horse), 254 nucleotides long. The record is from RefSeq and is a predicted model, not a curated record. NCBI's taxonomy places the organism in Eukaryota, Metazoa, Chordata, Mammalia, Perissodactyla, Equidae.